RNAcentral lists this ribosomal RNA (206 nucleotides) under uncultured bacterium. RNAcentral describes it as "partial 16S ribosomal RNA". It matches the Rfam family "Bacterial small subunit ribosomal RNA", at positions 568 to 774 of the family's 1533-position model. The record is from RNAcentral.
UGCGUAGGCGGCUUGAUAAGUCAGAGGUGAAAGGCUACAGCUCAACUGUAGAAUUGCCUUUGAAACUGUUGAGCUUGAAUCAGGUUGAGGUUGGCGGAAUGUGGCAUGUAGCGGUGAAAUGCAUAGAUAUGCCAUAGAACACCAAUUGCGAAGGCAGCUGACUGGACCUGAAUUGACGCUGAGGCACGAAGCGUGGGGAGCGAACA